AUGAGUGCCAUGAAGUUUUGCCGUGAAUGCAACAACAUCUUGUAUCCCAAGGAGGACAGGGACCAGAAGGUGCUCCUCUUCGCCUGCAGGAACUGCGACCACCAGGAGGUUGCAGACAACAACUGUGUCUACCGGAACGUGGUGCACCACAGCGCUGGAGAGUUCACCCAGGUGCUCCAGGACGUCGCCGGCGACCCCACCCUUCCCCGCACCAAGGAAGUCCGGUGUGCCGUCUGUGGCCACGGCGAAGCUGUCUUCUUCCAGGCCACCGCGAGAGGUGAGGAGGGGAUGACGCUCUUCUUCGUCUGCUGCAACCCGAGCUGCGGUCAUCGGUGGAGAGAAUGA
Molecule: ribosomal RNA, 345 nt
Filed under: Triticum aestivum (bread wheat)
Lineage: Eukaryota; Viridiplantae; Streptophyta; Magnoliopsida; Poales; Poaceae
Description: partial small subunit ribosomal RNA
Source: RNAcentral